Lepisosteus oculatus (spotted gar) is the source of this 620-nucleotide long non-coding RNA. RefSeq lists it as uncharacterized. Lineage: Eukaryota; Metazoa; Chordata; Actinopteri; Semionotiformes; Lepisosteidae. The record is from RefSeq and is a predicted model, not a curated record.
UGCAGUCCUGCGAGCUCCCGUUCGUCUUUGUCUAUUUCUUUAUUUUUUGUUGUUUUUCGUACUGCUAACUGCACAUACUGUUUGCUCGGUGAUUAGAUAUGACCGACAAACACUUAUAGACAUAAGAUCGAAUAUUGGCACAGUUAAAUCUACACCAAUAAUUACUGCCGACUGUCUGGACUGUGGUGUCUCACCUGUACCUGUACUGGGAUGAAGACAGCGUCGUAGGAAGAGGGCGUUAUUCCACUUGGAAACAAGAGUAACAUCAUCAGAAUCUCAAGAUUUACCUCUGGGUAACGCACAGGUCAUCGUUGUGGGCGUGUCUGAUACAGGACGUGUCCCUCUCACCUGUGUCUGGUCACACAUUAGCAGCUAUGAGGAGCUGUUGAGGAGAGACUGCAGAAAGAUCUGUGUGCUGAAGCUGUUGGACACAAUCUGCUUGAAGCUGGGUAGUUUGGAAUCAAGGAAGAGCAAAGAAACAGACUCGCCGGAGUCCGUGAGGAAAACUCAAUGAAACACUAAAAGAGUCCCCAAUCUCUUUUCCUCAUGGAAAUGCCUGUAAAAGUGCACAUCAGUCCAAGAAUUCCGUGAGGAAUGGAGGCGGAGGCCCAGGGACACGU